RNAcentral lists this long non-coding RNA (294 nucleotides) under Phoenix dactylifera (date palm). Its description in RNAcentral is "long non-coding RNA (PDAC_LNC017345)". Lineage: Eukaryota; Viridiplantae; Streptophyta; Magnoliopsida; Arecales; Arecaceae. The record is from RNAcentral.
UAAGCCGGAGAUCCGCAUUUAUUGUGGAGUAAGCCGGAGAGUUACAGCGACCAUGCGCAAUAAAUGCCAGAGGGGCGUCAGGGUAUGGUCCUCGGCCAGACCUCUGAGGCGCACGGCCGUAGUAGGUGGCUGACAAGAGUAGACCUCGAACAUCGGGGUUUUUCUUAGGCCGGAGGUCUCGAGGUCGGGCGUUCCGAAGUCGGACGCCGACUUCGGCCGUCCGGGGUCGGAAGUUGUACGGCUUCUUAGGGGUAUUUAUGUCAUUUGGGAAAAAAUCUUAUUCCCCCCAACAGA